UACGUAGGGAGCAAGCGUUGUCCGGAAUCAUUGGGCGUAAAGCGCGCGUAGGCGGCUCGAUCAGUCUGUUGUGAAAGUCAAAGGCUCAACCUUUGAAUGCCGAUGGAUACUGUCGAGCUAGAGUCCGGAAGAGGCGGGUGGAAUUCCUGGUGUAGCGGUGGAAUGCGCAGAUAUCAGGAGGAACACCAACGGCGAAGGCGGCUCACUGGUCCGGUACUGACGCUGAGGUGCGAAAGCGUGGGGAGCAAACAGG
Molecule: ribosomal RNA, 253 nt
Filed under: uncultured bacterium
Lineage: Bacteria
Description: partial 16S ribosomal RNA
Rfam family: Bacterial small subunit ribosomal RNA
Source: RNAcentral